RNAcentral lists this transfer RNA (96 nucleotides) under Pseudomonas sp. Ost2. Its description in RNAcentral is "tRNA-Asn". The record is from RNAcentral. Lineage: Bacteria; Pseudomonadati; Pseudomonadota; Gammaproteobacteria; Pseudomonadales; Pseudomonadaceae.
GGGCCGGGUGAGCGAGGAAGGUGGGCGCGGCCCCGUAUUCCGGGGCCGGGGGAGAGCUGUAUCAGCCGCUUUACAGUUCAUCCGGUACCGGCCCGC